GACAGAGGUGCCGAGCGUUAGGCGGAAUCACUGGGCGUAAAGCGCGCGUAGGCGGCUACUUAAGUCGGAUGUGAAAUCUCCAGGCUCAACCUGGAGGGGUCAUUCGAUACUGCCGUGACUAGAGGUCGGUAGGGGAGUGUGGAAUUCCUGGUGGAGCGGUGAAAUGCGCAGAUAUCAGGAGGAACACCCGUAGCGAAGGCGGCACUCUGGGCCGAUACUGACACUGAGGAGCGAAAGCGUGGGGAGCGAACAGG
Molecule: ribosomal RNA, 254 nt
Filed under: uncultured bacterium
Lineage: Bacteria
Description: partial 16S ribosomal RNA
Rfam family: Bacterial small subunit ribosomal RNA
Source: RNAcentral